AGAGUUUGAUCAUGGCUCAGAUUGAACGCUGGCGGCAUGCCUUACACAUGCAAGUCGAACGGCAGCACGGGAGCAAUCCUGGUGGCGAGUGGCGAACGGGUGAGUAAUAUAUCGGAACGUGCCCAGUCGUGGGGGAUAACGCAGCGAAAGCUGUGCUAAUACCGCAUACGAUCUAUGGAUGAAAGCGGGGGACUCGCAAGGGCCUCGCGCGAUUGGAGCGGCCGAUAUCAGAUUAGGUAGUUGGUGGGGUAAAGGCUCACCAAGCCGACGAUCUGUAGCUGGUCUGAGAGGACGACCAGCCACACUGGAACUGAGACACGGUCCAGACUCCUACGGGAGGCAGCAGUGGGGAAUUUUGGACAAUGGGCGCAAGCCUGAUCCAGCAAUGCCGCGUGCAGGAUGAAGGCCUUCGGGUUGUAAACUGCUUUUGUACGGAACGAAAAGGCUCUGGAUAAUACCUGGGGUCCAUGACGGUACCGUAAGAAUAAGCACCGGCUAACUACGUGCCAGCAGCCGCGGUAAUACGUAGGGUGCGAGCGUUAAUCGGAAUUACUGGGCGUAAAGCGUGCGCAGGCGGUAAUGCAAGACAGAUGUGAAAUCCCCGGGCUUAACCUGGGAACUGCAUUUGUGACUGCAUUGCUGGAGUGCGGCAGAGGGGGAUGGAAUUCCGCGUGUAGCAGUGAAAUGCGUAGAUAUGCGG
RNAcentral lists this ribosomal RNA (700 nucleotides) under uncultured bacterium. RNAcentral's name for it is "bacterial SSU rRNA". It matches the Rfam family "Bacterial small subunit ribosomal RNA", at positions 8 to 701 of the family's 1533-position model. The record is from RNAcentral.